AACAUUCAGAAAUGGAUUUCCAUUAGCAUCUUUGAGCAUUAUAAGAACAUCAAGGAUGUCUUUUUCCAUAGUUUUGUUGCCAUUCUUCCAAAUCUGAAUCCUCUUAUGAAUUUAGGUAUCAAUGUGUUUUGUUGCUGUGGCAAAGGCUUUCUUGAUACUUGCCUUGUGACCCUCCAAAUCAAACACACUUAACAAUGGCAAGUAAUCCGAGAUACCAAAAGAAUGGAGGUAUUCAAGAAGUUUGAAGACUGCAUCAACUUGCUCCUCAGCUUCUUUUCCAAAUAAUCUCUUGCUGAAAAUCAUAUUCCAAAUAACAUUCCCACAAUAAUAUCUUGUCACUCUCCUUGAGUUAAUUACCGGUUGGUUGCUGCAUUCAUUGUAAACAUAUCGAAGAAGGUGGUUAGCGUCUUCAUCCCUUUUAUGACUAAGCCAUUGAAGAGAUGUUGGUGAGAGCACAUGAGAGGCAACGAUUAUUGUGGGAAUGUUAUUUGGAAUAUGAUUUUCAGCAAGAGAUUAUUUGGAAAAGAAGCUGAGGAGCAAGUUGAUGCAGUCUUCAAACUUCUUGAAUACCUCCAUUCUUUUGGUAUCUCGGAUUACUUGCCAUUGUUAAGUGUGUUUGAUUUGGAUGGUCACAAGGCAAUUAUCAAGAAAGCCUUUGCCACAGCAACAAAACACAUUGAUACCUAAAUUCAUAAGAGGGUUCAGAUUUGGAAGAAGCCAUCCUUGGUGUUCUUAUAAUGCUCAAAGAUGCUAAUGGAAAUCCAUUUCUGAAUGUUAAAGAGAUUAAAGCACAAAUCCUUGAACUCAUGUUGGCAACAAUGGAUAAUCCCUCAAUUGCAGCUGAAUGGACACUUGCAUAAAUGUUGAACCAACCACAGUUGAUGCAAAGGGUCAUUGAAGAACUCAACACUGUCGUUGGGAGCAAUAAAUUGGUUCAGGAAUCAGACUUGGCACGGCUAAAUUAUGUCAAAGCUUGCAUAAAAGAGGCCUUUCGUCCCCACCCCAUAUUGCCUUUUAACGUUCCUCAUGUCUCUGUUUCUGAUAUUAUUACUAGUGAAAAGUACUUCAUCCCCAAAGGGAGUGUAGUGCUAUUAAGUCGUCUUGGACUUGGUCGGAAUCCUAAAGUUUGGGAGGAGCCGAUGAAGUUUAAGCCUGAGCGCCAAUUCAAGGAAAAAAAUGUAGUUUACAAUGAUUCAGAGUUACACUUGUUAUCUUGUUAUCAUUUAAUAUUGGACGACGAGGGUGACUUGGUGUGAAACUUGGUUCUACCAUUACUACCAUGUUACUUGCUAGGCUUUUUCACGGGUUUACUUGGAGUUUACCACCAAAUUCACCACGCAAUGACUUAAUUGAGGCGUCGAAGAGUGAUCUCUUUUGUACGUUGCCACUUCUUGCUCAAGCAAAACCAAGAUUAGCUAAGAUAAUAUAUCCUUAAGACACAAAUUUUAAAUCUUAUCCGGUUGUUGUAUAGGGGGUAAUCAAAUUUCUUCGAAUGUGUCAGCUCUAUAUGAAUAAAUUGCUCAUUUCUUUUGUUUUAA
Molecule: long non-coding RNA, 1538 nt
Organism: Nicotiana tabacum (common tobacco)
Lineage: Eukaryota; Viridiplantae; Streptophyta; Magnoliopsida; Solanales; Solanaceae
Source: RefSeq, a predicted model, not a curated record